UAGAGCACUGUUUCGGCUAGGGGGCCAUCCCGGCUUACCAACCCGAUGCAAACUGCGAAUACCGGAGAAUGUUAUCACGGGAGACACACGGCGGGUGCUAACGUCCGUCGUGAAGAGGGAAACAACCCAGACCGCCAGCUAAGGUCCCAAAGUCAUGGUUAAGUGGGAAACGAUGUGGGAAGGCCCAGACAGCCAGGAUGUUGGCUUAGAAGCAGCCAUCAUUUAAAGAAAGCGUAAUAGCUCACUGGUCGAGUCGGCCUGCGCGGAAGAUGUAACGGGGCUAAACCAU
This 289-nucleotide ribosomal RNA is filed under the name Salmonella enterica subsp. enterica serovar Heidelberg. RNAcentral's name for it is "partial 23S ribosomal RNA". It matches the Rfam family "Bacterial large subunit ribosomal RNA", at positions 903 to 1190 of the family's 2925-position model. The record is from RNAcentral. RNAcentral also lists the same sequence under 9 other names. Lineage: Bacteria; Pseudomonadati; Pseudomonadota; Gammaproteobacteria; Enterobacterales; Enterobacteriaceae.